This is a non-coding RNA of Streptomyces sp. MBRL 601, 293 nucleotides long. The record is from Rfam. NCBI's taxonomy places the organism in Bacteria, Bacillati, Actinomycetota, Actinomycetes, Kitasatosporales, Streptomycetaceae.
CGUCGGUGAUGCCGGGGCUGAUGAAGUGGAUGUGGGUGUCGAUGCCGCCGGCGGUGAGGAUCUUGCCGUUGCCCGCGAUGAUCUCGGUCUCGGGGCCGAUGACCAGCUCGGGGUGGACGCCGUCCAUGGUGUCCGGGUUCCCGGCCUUGCCGAGCGCGGUGAUCCGCCCGUCGCGGAUGCCGACGUCGGCCUUGACGAUCCCCCAGUGGUCGAGGACGACGACGCCGGUGAUGACGGUGUCGGGGGCGCCCUCGGCGCGGGUGGUGCGGGACUGGCCCAUCGACUCGCGGAUG